Molecule: transfer RNA, 77 nt
Filed under: Patescibacteria group bacterium
Lineage: Bacteria
Description: tRNA-His
Rfam family: tRNA
About the family: Transfer RNA (tRNA) molecules are approximately 80 nucleotides in length. Their secondary structure includes four short double-helical elements and three loops (D, anti-codon, and T loops).
Source: RNAcentral
GUGGUACUAGCUCAGUUGGUUAGAGCGCCGCUCUGUGAAAGCGGAGGCCGCCGGUUCGAGUCCGGUGUACCACCCCA